ACAGUAUAGUGGUUCUGACACUCGGCUUGUAAUCGAGUGGAUUCGGGUUCAAAUCCCGAGUAAGGCU
This 67-nucleotide transfer RNA is filed under the name Trichonephila inaurata madagascariensis. Its description in RNAcentral is "tRNA-Thr". The stretch from base 3 to 59 matches the Rfam family "tRNA", at positions 9 to 63 of the family's 71-position model. From Rfam's summary of the family: Transfer RNA (tRNA) molecules are approximately 80 nucleotides in length. Their secondary structure includes four short double-helical elements and three loops (D, anti-codon, and T loops). Lineage: Eukaryota; Metazoa; Arthropoda; Arachnida; Araneae; Nephilidae. The record is from RNAcentral.